UACGUAGGGUGCGAGCGUUGUCCGGAAUUAUUGGGCGUAAAGGGCUCGUAGGCGGUUUGUCGCGUCGGGAGUGAAAACACUGGGCUUAACUCAGUGCUUGCUUCCGAUACGGGCAGACUAGAGGUAUGCAGGGGAGAACGGAAUUCCUGGUGUAGCGGUGAAAUGCGCAGAUAUCAGGAGGAACACCGGUGGCGAAGGCGGGUCUCUGGGACGGUACUGACGCUGAGACGCGAAAGCGUGGGGAGCGAACAGG
This 253-nucleotide ribosomal RNA is filed under the name uncultured bacterium. RNAcentral's name for it is "partial 16S ribosomal RNA". It matches the Rfam family "Bacterial small subunit ribosomal RNA", at positions 524 to 776 of the family's 1533-position model. The record is from RNAcentral.